ACCACCACCUUUCCAGUCUGUUUAGGACGGAGGUUCUCGACUGGGGGUGAUUUUGUCCCCCUGGAAACCAGCGUCUGGAGAAAGGGGAGAGCAAGGGUUUCUAGCGGGUGGAGGCCUCCGGCAGCGUCCAGGAGCCCCUUCCCGCCUGGCCGUGAUGACAUCGGUGACACCGCGCUGCGGAAAACCCGCCUGGAAUCUAGGAGCGCAGCCGAGUGGAGCAGGCAGCUCAGCACGCCAGGAAGACGGCGGUGAGGUGCUGCAGACCUUCCUUGGCCUCCUCGGAGAACCUUCCCCUUGCUCCACGCGGCCCCAUCGUUCGGUGGGCAUCAUCUCAGAGCGGAGGCAUCUGCGGUGAGAGAGACACCAUCGUGGAUUCUCUGCCUGGAUUUUUUUUUUUGGGGGGGUCCAAAAAUAACGCUAUUCGAACCGGAAGCUCUUUUGGACAUUUAGACAGAAAUGUCUGAGUGUAGAGGGGCAGCUGCCAUCUGGUUUCGGGAGCAGAAAACCCCCAAACGGUGGGGGAAGCGCUGAAUGUGGUGUGUGUGAGUCCCAGCUAGAGAGCCCCUGUCCCUGCUUCCUGGGAGAGUCCUGGGGGGUCCGUGGGAUUUGGAGCAGGGAGGGCGCUGGGCAAGCCCGGAGAAAGCAGGCUCAGGUGCGGAGAGACACUUGCUCUGGUGUGGUCCAGGGCUCUGAACCUUCCCGGGUCGUCAGACGAGUGCCCGGGGGGCCGGGGCCUGACACGAGCAGCGAGAGACCCUCGCGGGCAGAGGGACGCCUGUGUGGAUGGGGGAGCCUGCAGCAGCCAGUGGUGUCCAGCCGCCUCAGUCCCCCAACCGCAACCCCGGCAAGAGGAAGGGGACCCUGACGUGACAGAUGCGUUGAAGCAGGGAGCUCAUUUCCAUCAGAAAUUGGCCUCCGAGGAGGGAAGCUGUUGGGGACAAGCUGGCCACUCUCCCGCAGGGCAAGAUUGCCGGCCAGGAUUUUCUGCAUUUAGGCUCAGAACCCGGGACAGCCGGGUCUCCCCAGAGCAGACCCCAACCCACCAAGGUUUGAUAGAAACUACUUUGAUUUUUCCUUCACAGCAGGGGGGGAGGCAUUUCAAUGGAGGCCUUAGGCCUUCCCUCAGGGUCCUGGCUGGGCAGCGGGGGUGGGCAGAGGUAAGCCAAGGCGAUAGCAGCUGCCAGCAUCCCCAGCACCUACUUGGAGUCUCGCACAGGUGGUAGAGAUAAUAGUAUCGCUACAGCUCUUCAGCUGAGCACUGGGAAAGGAGCCCUCCCCACCAUUCAGAUGGAGGACCAGCUGGGAGGGCUUCUUGGAAGAGGAGGCCUGUGAAUCAUUCCUAGAAAGCGUGUGUCCGCAAACCAGAACCGAAACCUGCAAAUGCCUCAAGGUCAGGAAGUUGACACUGAAGGACACACAUCACCAAAGCCUCUCUUCUGGACAGUGACCGGUGGUCCGACUGGACGCCACGUGGUAACCUUGUCCCCAGACCCCGUUCUGAGCAUGGCCGUCAGUCAACCGCCCAAAUUACAGAUACUCACAGUGCUGGUGCUUGUCAAAGACAAAACCAGACAUGUAAGGAGAGUGAUUUUAUUUCUGCAGUCGGGAGAGCUUUCAGCUGGAGGUGAGCGUGCGUCUCCUCCGGGAGGUCUCGCCCUGGGCUUGUGUUGGGAGGAGGAGCCAAGUGUAGGUGGGGGUGUCACAACUGGGACUUGGGGGGGGUCUCGGCCGCUCUGUCCAGCUGUUUCAGGAGGGCAAGCCAAUCAGCUAAUCACUUAUGAGACAAAUCAUGAGAAUUCACAGGUGGACAAGGAGGGACACCUGCCAGUCUUGUCUCGGUCACAGGAGGAAAGGGCCGCUUUGCAGGAGCCAUUUGUGUCCCCGACACAGAAAGGGUGGUGGGGUGCGGGGUCCUGCACCGCCACUGUUUUCCGGGGCGCGGGGUCAGACAUGUUUCAACACUGUCACGCCCGAAUUUCUGUACACGAGAGGCUAAAGGGGAGCCACUCGGCUGAAGGGGUGAAGAGAGGCUACUUGGAAACAGUAGCAGUUUUCUAAGGAUGCUCAUAUUUACAUUUAUAAAAGGUUACAGAAGCAUGAAUUUUCCUUUUAAAAAUUGUUAUUACAACCCACAUAUGUUAUGUUAAUGACUGACGGGGAACAGAGGGUGUGUGGGGCGGGUAGUGCAGGCAGUGUCCUUACGCCUUGCGGACCGUUGAGGCUGAGGGCCCGGGGAGGCGGGACGUAGCAGCGCUUGCAGACCACCUGGCAGCUUGCAGACCACCCGGCACGCUUGCAGAAAAUGCACACUCCUGGGUCGCCCGUGAGCUGCCGUGUCAGGAUCUGGGCUUGGGGAGGAGCAGGGCUCAAGUCUCUCUAGUCCUUGCUGGUGCGGGCCGUGGAGGCUUUUCAGUGGUGACACCGGGAAUGAAUGAUGGAGGGGCAUGGGGAGGAGUAUUCCAGACACGGGAACGGGGACCCGGAGGUAGGGAGGAGCCUGGGGCUCACGGGCACUGGACAGAAGUGGAGGUGGCCGGCAGGAGGAGAGUUGCACAGGGUGCGGCCGGGAGAGGGGGGACUUGUUGGGUGCAGCUUGGCCCGGAGGUCCCCCCACACCCCGGACUUCAUCCUGAGACACGUGGAGAGUCCCUGAGGGUUUAGCUGGGGGCCGUGACUAGGUCACUGGCCCGUCAUACUCAGAGUGUCCAAACUGGACUCCAUGGUCUCGCCAGGCCUCAGUGCUCUCCCUCCUACGUUCACCUUCAGCAGGCAUCACCCACCCAGACACCCACCCAGACACCCACCCAGACACCCAAUCAGCCUGGCCACCCUGCACUCUUCAGGCUCAUCCCAGCAGCCCUCAAAUCCAUCUGCUUCCCUCCCCUGCCAUAACCUGAGAUGGGGCAGUACCUUCUCUCACUUGGGCAGUCAGCAACCUGGGCUUCCUGCCUCCCAGCUUGCCCCUCGCAGCCCAUUCCCCCUUCGUGUAGCUCGACCUCACCCACACGACGAUGGCCCACCACCCUCAGCUGCCGUCCUUGCAGUCAGGCCCCUGCUGGCCCUCUGGUCUCAUCUGGCACCGGCGCCCUGGACUCUACCACCCAGCCUUCAAACCCUGCCCGUCCUCACCUCCAGGCCUUGCCCCUCAGCCCAGAACGUGCCUUCUCCUGACUGUCUCUGACUCAUCCUUCGGGUCUGGGCUCAAGGCGCCAUCUUGGGAGGCAUUCCGUGGUCUCCCCAGGCCGGGUGCUUCCACCAUUCUGAGGCUGCUGGUCCCAUCGCGUUGUAAGUAUCCGCUCCCAGUGUCCCCACGAGGGCCUGGCCCUCCUCAGGGACACGUCGGGGUCUUUCUGCUGGAGCCCCAGCCUCUCGCAGGCCACAUGGGAGGUGCUGGCGAGUAACUGCCCCAAGGGGGUUGGUCUCUUGCCUCCCUGCCCCCCCCUUGCUGAGCUGAUGGGCGCGCUGACGUGGCGGCUUCCAUCCCGCUGGCUGCUGCUUUCUCGGUAUCCUCCUCCGGGCCCCUCACCUCCCACCCUACCUCCCAACCUGUUCAUUGCCUCCUCUGGCUUUGGUGCUUGUGAGACCGUCCAGGAUAAUUAAGAGAGAGAAGUUUUAUGCUGUUUAUGGGGCUUCGAUCAAAGAUUUUAAUUAACCUACCUUGCUUUAAGCCUUUGAAAGUUCAUUCCCCAGGGCCGACUGUUUGAUAAUGGAAUUAAUACUUCAGGCAGCGUGGAAGGUGGAGGCCCAGACAUGGGGGCCCAGUGACUGUCUCAUUAACCCUUCCCAAGAAGGAUGGAUUUCAGCUCAUCCUGAAGGAUUCAUCUCGACCGGAGCUACUCACUGAUGAAAGGCGGUGCCAGGAAUGGUGGUGAGAUCCCCGUCACUGGAGGCAUGUCAGCAGACCCUAGACGAGCUCCCGGGAGGAAUCUUGAGGCCAUGGUAAGCAGCUCGUGUCAUGCGUAGACGUUGGAGGAAGUGAGUGAGGAAGAGCUCUCGUCUCUACCCCAUCGGCUCUGAGAAGACAGAAACACUAAAAUCUCAACGAAGGCAUAUUCCUGAGUCUCUGCAGUGCGCCCCGGGCGGCGGGAGAAGAGAGGAAGUGCGAGGCCUGAGGUCUCCCCUCACCUUCGAGAAGUUCGGGGAAGAAAAGCCACGGGUGCUCCUUUGUAAAAGGGAGAGUGCGGUGCCCUCAUGGGCUGAAAUGGGGGUGGAAGGAGGUUGAGAGGGAGAAAACAUAGAGAACAAUGUUCAGCUGGGCUCCCGUCCCUCCGCCCCUGGUUCCUGUUUGCAUUUUGUCCGUGGCUUGAAUUUAAACCAUAAUCGAUCAGUUCAUUUAUUAUUUUUUUAAAAGAUUUUAUUUAUUUGAGAGAGAGUAAGAGAGAUCCAAGAGGGAGAGGGAGAAACAGACUCGUCACUGAGCAGAGUCCGAUGCAAGACUCGAUCCUAGGACCCUGAGAUCAUGACCCGAGCCAAAGGCAGACGCUUCACCAACUAAGCCACCCAGGUGCCCAUUAAUCAGUUCAUUUAAAGUGAUUUCUCUCGGCACCUUUAGCUGCCUGGGUGUUAAAGCACAGCCCCGGGAGGGAGGGGGCAAGGGGGCAGCCCCCACCCGACCCAGGAGACUCGGUCUGCAGGCUGUGGUGAGCGGGUGACAGCUGGGGACCCCACGAGGCUGUCUGCGUGUGCGGGGUCUCGAGGGGUGUGCGUUAGAGGGCGGAUCUGGCCUUGGUGAUGGCCCUUCCCUAUAUGGGUUUACACCGCACAGCUGAAAACACAUGUAUUUCCACGCCUCCUCGUCCGACUUCACUCGCUUUCAUCCACGGGAAGACUGCUGACGAGCCCGUGAGCUGGCCCAGAACGCCCUUUUGAAUGCAAAAGCCCAUUUUCAACAUCAAAAUGUUUUCUGAACUUCCAGAUGAGAGAGUUCUUUAAUAUCCACCAAUGAGGAAGCUAUGGAACAGAAAGCUGUACUUUGGGGACAUUUAUUUGUAUAAUGAGCUAUUUCAUAGGUAUUAUGCUAAUAUGUUCUUACUUUCAUAAGAUUUCAACAGUACAGGGCGAAACCGGGGUAAAGGAACACUUCCAGACACAAGUCAAGGUUUGUCGCUUACUGGUGGAGGGUGCCCAGGGAGCCAGCAGGUGCAAACGUGCGGGGACGGACCUGCUUCCCUGCAGCCAGACUUCACACGUCGUCAAGAAAUCGCUUUCCCAUGAGAGCCUAUGGACUCUGAGAAACGAACUGAGGGCUUCAGAGGGGAGGGGGUGGGGGAAUGGGAUAGACUGGUGAUGGGUAGUAAGGAGGGCACGUAUUGCAUGGUGCACUGGGUGUUACACACAACUAAUGAAGCAUCGAACUUUACAUCAAAAACCAGGGAUGUACUGUAUGGUGACUAACAUAAUAAAAAAAAACAUUAAAAAAAAAAAGAAAAAAAAAGAAAUCGCUUUCCUCCCAGAAGGGGGUUAAAUUGGCACCAUGGAGAAUGUGGAACCAUCUUCAGAUAUGACUCGUUAAUCACAGCCGUCGGGUCACGGAUCUGAGAAUCUCCGUCUGGGGACGUCAGCUGAAUGCCCUCAGCGACAGGGCUUGUCCUCCCCCAAGGAGCCGGUCACCCCGAGUGGGCUCCAGCCCCGGGUCCUGCCUCCCCUCGACCUCUCAGAAAGCGUCUCCGCGGCCUCAAAGGUGCCGAACACACAGCGCGUGCUGGUCGGUCUUCGUCUUGAGCAAAACUCUUCUCUCAGGGGGGACGCCACCCGUCUCUGCCCAUCACUCCCCUUCCGUUCCCGCAGGAACCGCGCGGGCCCCUGGAUGUCCGCUCUUCGUGUGCGCACGCGAACACAGCGGGUAUCACACGAGACGCGCUAUUGCUCAAUGUGGCUACUGUCCGUGAUGUCGGGAGAAUCCCUCUGUGUCCGUUCACGGGCGUCUCCGCCUUAUUUCAACGUCUGCAGAGAACGCCCACGUUCGGAAAUUUCUCUAGCCGCUGCCCCACGGGUGUGCGUUUGUGGGUUCCCCACCCACUGCAGUCUGUUACACGGCGGGCUCCCGCGACCCGCGCAGGGGUGUCUUUGCGCGCGCACCCGGCAUUUCUCCCGGCGGGUUUCCAGAAGCGCUUUCGGCUGGGGCGAAGGGAACGCAACGUCCGGACGUGGCCGAUGACGCCUGACGGCUUCCGACUGAUCUCACAGGUGCGCACGGUUUCCGGCAAGUACCUGAAAACAGCUGUUCCUCCUCUUCUUGCUGAUGUUUGCUACUAUCAAUUGUUGUAAUUUUUGCCAGUAUAAUGGGGGCAAAAUCGUAUCUCGUUAUUGUUUUAAUUUCCAUUUCCCUGUUUGCUAGCGGAAGCUUUGCAUCCUCUCAUGUGUUUAUUGACAUUUGCAUUUUUCUUCUGUGAAUUGCCUAUUCAUACAAUUUUAUUUUUAUUGUGUUGUGUGUCUUUUUUCUAUUGAUUUGCGUAAGAUCCUGUUGUUUUUGGGCCAUAAAUUCUCAGCGUGUUCAAUGUGCUACAUGGAACGGCUCCUGAUUUGCUGCUUGGAAUUUAACUUUGUAUGUAAGGCAUCAUUUCUCAACAAAGUGCUUAAAAAUUUGAUGAGA
This is a long non-coding RNA of Ailuropoda melanoleuca (giant panda), 6592 nucleotides long. RefSeq lists it as uncharacterized. The transcript is spliced from 7 exons. The record is from RefSeq and is a predicted model, not a curated record. NCBI's taxonomy places the organism in Eukaryota, Metazoa, Chordata, Mammalia, Carnivora, Ursidae.